RNAcentral lists this ribosomal RNA (401 nucleotides) under uncultured bacterium. Its description in RNAcentral is "bacterial SSU rRNA". It matches the Rfam family "Bacterial small subunit ribosomal RNA", at positions 28 to 424 of the family's 1533-position model. The record is from RNAcentral.
GACGAACGCUGGCGGCGUGCUUAAUACAUGCAAGUCGAGCGAGGUCCAUCUGGUGGCAACACCAGUGAAGGCCGAGCGGCGAACGGGUGAGUAACACGUGAGCAACCUGCCCCGAAGUCUGGAAUAACAUCGGGAAACCGGUGCUAAUACCGGAUCGCCCCACCUGACCGCAUGAUCGGGUGAGGAAAGAUUUAUCGCUUCGGGAGGGGCUCGCGGCCUAUCAGCAGUUGGUGGGGUAACGGCCUACCAAGGCGUCGACGGGUAGCUGGUCUGAGAGGACGACCAGCCACACUGGGACUGAGACACGGCCCAGACUCCUACGGGAGGCAGCAGUAGGGAAUCUUGCGCAAUGGGCGAAAGCCUGACGCAGCAACGCCGCGUGGGGGAUGACGGCCUCGGUU